GAGGUUGGAAUCAGAGAGAGUUGAAGAUGCUGUAUUGCUGGAUGGGCGAUAAGGUCAAAUGAGAUGAUUAUGAAUAUGUUCAAGAAGUCAAGAGUGCAUCUUAAGCAGAAUUUAAGAAAUGAAUAUUGAAAAGAUCGUAUUAAAAAGAUCUUAGCUACUCUCUUUUUUGUUUGUGAGGUCUGAGUACCCAGAGGGUAGGGCUAUUUGUUAGUUAACUCUACGUAAGAUCAGGGAAGCCUUCACAGAGGAAGACAUACCCAAGUUGAGCAUGGAAAGAUGAAGAUGAACAGGUAUAAUGGAGCCUGGUGUUCAGUGCAGUAAGGAGAACUAUUCCAAAGGCACAGUCCUGGAUGUGCCGGAACACUGUGAUUUUCUUCCCUUUGGGCAGCAAUGCCACGUGCUGCAUGGUCAGCACCUGCUCUUCUCUGGACAUUCUGUCCAGCUGUCCAGUCUCUGAGAGAUGGUGACAUUUACAGCCAUUACAAGGCAACGAUCCUGGCCGCCUGCCACAGUGGGGCCCAGGUCCAAGUGGCUACCAUCUGGCAGGACAUCUGCUCAGCCACCGGGAGGGCUUUGGAUGCAGCAACAUGCCCACAGAGAAAACAUUGCACUCUGCCCCUUGAGGGAGAAUACAUUGCAUUUCCACCCAUGCAAGAGAUGAAGAGUGAGAGUAACCCAGAGGGGUGCCUUUCCACUGUGGCCGUGAUCCUUCCAUAGCCUUCGGCACUGGGGUAUCUGACAAUAUGUUUAGAAUGUAAUUGAUGAGAACAUGGCCUCUGUAGCCAGACUGAGUGGGUUCCUAUCCUGGCUGCAUUACUUUACUACAUGACCUUGAGACAAAUUACUUAACCUCUCUGUGACAAGCAAUGAGUCCAUCCUUAGUAAAUGUCAGGUAUGUUUAUUUUUAGAUAACACCUUAGGGCUUGUCAUGUGCUCUGGAACUCUGAGGCUGCUAAGGAUCUCUGUGCAGUGCUCUUCAAUGAUGCUCAAGUCCUACUCCAGUUGACACUUACCUUAUACCCCAGCCACGCUGAAUGCCUAUGUGUCUUUGAAUUUGUAACAUGCUUCCUGACAAUUUUGAGCCUUUGCACGUGAUUCUCUGUCUGAUGGAAAACUCUGGUCCUCUCUUUAUCAAGUUAACUUUUCAUCAUUUAAGACACCUUUAAGAUGUCACUUCUUUCUGGAAGCUGUCUUUGGUUACUUGCAGGCUAUGUAUUGCCAUAGCUCUCUGUGUACUCACCCCUAAUAUCAGAUAGAUGGAUGGAUUGAUGGAAGAGGUAUUAGUGCAUGUGAUCUCUAUUACUCUCAUUUAAUUAAAUCCUUAAACAGUCAAAUUAAGUGCUUUAUUGUCUUCUUGAAAAAAACAUCUAUUUAUUCUUGUUUCAAAUGCAGAUUGUGGCCCACAAGAGAGGGAAUUGAAAGCCCAGUCCUAGAGAAUGAGAUUGGAACAGUCACAUGCUACUUUCCCAUUCAAAUCUCUUCCAGUCUGUGAUUAUGUCCAGCCAAAUUGAGCAGCUGGAAAGAGCUGAUUCGGGGAAUUGGUGUUAUUGCUCCAAUAUAGACAUUUGUUUGGCUGAAUCUAAUCAUGUUUAAAAUGGUUUUAGUUAAGUGAAAUUGUGU
RNAcentral lists this long non-coding RNA (1620 nucleotides) under Equus caballus (horse). Its description in RNAcentral is "lncRNA (ENSECAG00000059830.1)". The record is from RNAcentral. Lineage: Eukaryota; Metazoa; Chordata; Mammalia; Perissodactyla; Equidae.